AGUAACACGUGGAUAACCUACCUAUAAGACUGGGAUAACUUCGGGAAACCGGAGCUAAUACCGGAUAAUAUUUUGAACCGCAUGUUCAAAAGUGAAAGACGGUCUUGCUGUCACUUAUAGAUGGAUCUGCGCUGCAUUAGCUAGUUGGUAAGGUAACGGCUUACCAAGGCAACGAUGCAUAGCCGACCUGAGAGGGUGAUCGGCCACACUGGAACUGAGACACGGUCCAG
RNAcentral lists this ribosomal RNA (230 nucleotides) under uncultured Staphylococcus sp. RNAcentral describes it as "partial 16S ribosomal RNA". It matches the Rfam family "Bacterial small subunit ribosomal RNA", at positions 109 to 334 of the family's 1533-position model. The record is from RNAcentral. Lineage: Bacteria; Bacillati; Bacillota; Bacilli; Caryophanales; Staphylococcaceae.